This is a non-coding RNA of Pelobates cultripes (western spadefoot toad), 784 nucleotides long. NCBI's taxonomy places the organism in Eukaryota, Metazoa, Chordata, Amphibia, Anura, Pelobatidae. The record is from the annotation of a GenBank genome assembly.
GUUAUGAGUUACCACUACAAUGUCUAUUUUCCUAAAGGAUGGACUUUCUCCUGUGGAAAUAUUACUUAUGCUUAUGUCCAGGUAACAUUACAGGAGGUCCCUGUGCAAUCUCUCGCCUAACCAUGACCAUGUUUUCCAAAUCUGACCUGAUCACUAAAACCACCCAGCUAUACAAACUGCUGAGAGAUGUUAAAAACACCCUUAAUGCAGAUUGCAACCCUGAAAUAACUCUUAUCUAAAUACUCUGCCCUAGCGUACACCUUGGUAGGCGUCCCAGGCUUAGCAUUGUAUAAUACCCGACUAGUUAAUGCUGUAGCCUGUUCCCUUGCAAAAGGUUUAAAUGCCACUUCACAGGCCCUAGAAGAGCUACUUAUGGACAACCAGGCAAUUAAGAAGGCAAUCCUUGAGAAUAGAGCAGCCAUUGACUACUUACUAAUGAAACAUGACUUAGGCUGUGAAGCUAUUGAAGGUAUGUGCUGUUUUAACCUAUCUGACCAUGGCACUAUGAUCCAUAAACAUAUAAAAGAUUUACAUGACUUAGUACAGGAUAUCAAACCGUAUACUGGCUUCUUUGGGGAUUGGGAUUGGACAUUUGGGCUAGGAACAUGGUUGACUUUACUAAUUAAGAAAAUUUUGUACUUUUUGCUAUUAGUUGUAUUUGUCAUUAUGGCUAUUUUUCUAACCUUUAGAUUUUUUUCAUGUCUACUAACCUCUCUACAGGGAGUGCAGAAUUAUUAGGCAAAUGAGUAUUUUGACCACAUCAUCCUCUUUAUGCAUGUUGUCU